GUGCCCUCUGUGCCCAUGCUCCCUUUCUGCCUCGGAGCCUUGUGCAUGUGGGGUCCGAUGCUCUCAUGCCUGCGGGUUCCCAUACAUAUGUACGUAUGAAACUGGGUCGUUUUCUCCUGUGACUCGGUCUCCCGCCUGUGAUCAUUAGACCAGGCGGAAGAAGCUUGAGGGGAGAGAGCAGUUGUUCCCGGCCCCACAACUUGCAGUGCUGCCUGUUUGCUCGCUGUGCUUUGAGGUGUGCCUGUGUUAGCACCAUCACCCCGGAGACUCCCACACACAAAACCAGACCUUAAGGAGCAGAGACAGUAGCUACAAAAUAAAAGUUUCUGCGUUCAGAGGCAGGCGCACCUCGGUCCUGUUCUGACAAUUCCAGGACCUGGAUCUGGCUGAAGCCUCCCUUGGCCUCCCUGGGCACCGCCCUGCACCAGCUUUUGGUGAGCCAGCCAGGAGGCCUGCACUUCCCUCUAUUUCCCAUUACUGUCGUGGUGUGGAGCUAAGUCCCCUGUCUGAGGGAAUGAACCUAGCGUGAGAACGUGGAGUCAUGGCUGCCACUCCGGUGAGUCUGCCCUCAGCAGGGUGCAGCCAGGAGCCAGGGCUGAUUACCUCAGCAACCUAAUGGACCCACCCUGUUUUGCUUCUGUGUCAAACAGCACACCUUCUUUUCCUAUUUUUCUCUCUUCUUUUGGGGACUGGAUAUGCUUAACUUUGUUCAGCAAUUAGCCUCCCGUGUAAAGAGCUCUUCGGGAUGUUGCAUAUAUAGAAUUCCUUGAAUUGGAGCCAAGACUUGCUUUGUUUCCACUGCUCAUUCACAGCCUUUGCAAAGUUCAUUGAGAAUCUCAACAAGUCUUCCUGCUGGGUAAUUAGAAAUGUAAAUGAGGCUAGGGGUAAUUGAAG
Molecule: long non-coding RNA, 894 nt
Organism: Myotis daubentonii (Daubenton's bat)
Lineage: Eukaryota; Metazoa; Chordata; Mammalia; Chiroptera; Vespertilionidae
Source: RefSeq, a predicted model, not a curated record